CGGUGCGGACGGAGGCGCACGCCGGGAGCGGUGCUGCGGCUCAGCUGAUAAUUGAAGGGACCCGAGGAGCCGCCGCCGACGCUGCCGCCGGGGGGGGGUGGGGGGAGCGAGUGGAAGUUACUGCCGCGCCACCGAGUCCGGACCGGAGACUUUGGGGCCCAACUAGUGAAUGGUAGUGUCUAGAAAGGGUAUGUCCCUUCAAGAGAGAGGUGCCAAUGUCCAACCGGCCUAAUAACAAUCCAGGGGGGUCACUGCGACGUUCACAGAGGAACACUGCCGGGGCCCAACCACAAGACGACUCAAUAGGAGGAAGGUCACAUUUAGGGCAGGCAAAACAUAAGGGAUAUAGCCCUCCUGAGAGUAGAAAAUCUAAUUCUAAGGCACCCAAAGUGCAGUCUAAUACUACUUCUGAACUGUCAAGGGGACACCUUUCUAAAAGAAGCUGCAGUUCAUCAUCUGCUGUCAUAGUCCCACAACCAGAGGAUCCAGACAGAGCCAAUACUUCAGAAAGGCAGAAAACGGGGCAGGUGCCUAAGAAAGACAAUUCUCGAGGAGUGAAACGCAGUGCUAGUCCAGACUACAACAGGACCAACUCUCCUAGCUCUGCAAAAAAACCCAAAGCACUUCAGCAUACUGAAUCUCCCUCAGAAACAAGUAAGCCACACAGUAAGUCAAAGAAGAGACAUUUAGACCAGGAGCAACAACUGAAAUCUGCACAGUCUCCAUCAACAAGCAAGGCUCAUACCAGGAAGAGUGGGGCCACUGCUAGUUCACGGAGUCAGAAAAGAAAGAGGACAGAGAGUUCUUGUAUAAAGAGUGGUUCUGUGUCGGAAGCAACUGGUGCCGAAGAGAGAUCUGCAAAACCUACCAAGCUGGCUUCAAAAUCAGCCGCCUCAGCCAAAGCUGGGUGUAGCACAAUCACCGAUUCUUCUUCUGCUGCCUCUACUUCCUCCUCGUCUUCUGCUGUAGCCUCGGCCUCCUCUGCUGUUCCACCAGGUGCCAGGGUGAAACAAGGAAAAGACCAGAACAAGGCCAGGCGUUCCCGUUCAGCAUCCAGCCCCAGUCCAAGAAGAAGUAGCAGGGAGAAGGAACAGAGUAAAACUGGUGGCUCUUCAAAAUUUGAUUGGGCUGCUCGUUUCAGCCCUAAAGUUAGCCUUCCUAAAACAAAACUGUCUCUUCCAGGGUCUUCUAAGUCAGAGACAUCAAAACCUGGACCUUCUGGAUUACAGGCCAAAUUAGCAAGUUUAAGAAAAUCUACCAAGAAGCGCAGCGAAUCCCCACCUGCUGAGCUCCCCAGUUUGAGGCGGAGCACACGCCAGAAGACCACGGGCUCCUGUGCUAGUGCCAGUCGGCGAGGCUCUGGCCUGGGCAAAAGAGGAGCAGCUGAAGCGCGUCGACAGGAGAAGAUGGCAGACCCUGAGGGCAACCAGGAGACAGUGAAUUCUUCAGCCGCACGGACGGACGAAACUCCCCAAGGAGCGGCAGCCUCUAGUUCUGUUGCAGGGGCUGUGGGCAUGACCACUUCUGGGGAGAGUGAAUCGGAUGAUUCCGAGAUGGGACGAUUGCAAGCUCUGUUAGAGGCCAGGGGUCUUCCUCCUCACCUGUUUGGUCCUCUUGGUCCUCGGAUGUCACAACUUUUCCAUAGAACAAUUGGAAGCGGAGCUAGUUCUAAGGCCCAGCAGCUUCUGCAAGGACUACAAGCAAGCGAUGAAAGCCAGCAACUCCAGGCAGUUAUUGAGAUGUGUCAGUUAUUGGUCAUGGGAAAUGAGGAGACACUGGGAGGGUUUCCUGUCAAGAGUGUUGUUCCAGCUUUGAUAACAUUACUGCAGAUGGAGCAUAAUUUUGAUAUUAUGAACCACGCUUGUCGAGCCUUAACAUACAUGAUGGAAGCACUUCCUCGAUCAUCCGCUGUUGUAGUAGAUGCAAUUCCUGUCUUUUUAGAAAAGCUGCAAGUUAUUCAGUGUAUUGAUGUGGCAGAGCAGGCCUUGACGGCCUUGGAGAUGUUAUCACGUAGACACAGUAAAGCCAUUCUACAGGCGGGUGGUUUGGCAGACUGCUUGCUGUAUCUAGAGUUCUUCAGCAUAAAUGCCCAAAGGAAUGCACUAGCAAUUGCAGCCAAUUGCUGCCAGAGUAUCACGCCAGAUGAAUUUCAUUUUGUGGCAGAUUCCCUCCCAUUGCUAACCCAAAGGCUAACCCACCAGGACAAAAAGUCAGUAGAAAGCACUUGCCUUUGUUUUGCACGUCUCGUGGACAACUUCCAACAUGAGGAGAAUUUACUCCAGCAGGUUGCCUCCAAAGAUCUGCUAACAAAUGUUCAACAACUAUUGGUAGUAACUCCACCAAUUCUAAGUUCUGGGAUGUUUAUAAUGGUGGUUCGCAUGUUUUCUUUGAUGUGUUCCAACUGUCCAACUUUAGCGGUUCAACUUAUGAAGCAAAGUUUUACAGACAUUGCAGAAACACUUCACUUUCUCCUGUGUGGUGCCUCCAAUGGAAGUUGUCAGGAACAGAUUGAUCUUGUUCCACGAAGUCCUCAAGAACUGUAUGAACUGACAUCUCUGAUCUGUGAACUUAUGCCAUGUUUACCAAAAGAAGGCAUUUUUGCAGUUGAUACCAUGCUGAAGAAGGGAAACGCACAGAACACAGAUGGUGCGAUAUGGCAGUGGCGUGAUGACCGGGGCCUUUGGCAUCCCUAUAACAGGAUUGACAGCCGGAUCAUUGAGGUAGCAGCCCAUCAGGUCGGUGAGGAUGAGAUAAGCUUGUCCACUCUGGGACGAGUUUAUACUAUUGAUUUUAAUUCUAUGCAGCAAAUCAAUGAGGACACGGGAACAGCACGUGCCAUUCAGAGAAAACCUAACCCCUUAGCCAAUACUAACAGUAGUGGAUAUUCAGAGUUAAAGAAGGAUGAUGCUCGAGCACAGCUUAUGAAAGAGGAUCCGGAACUGGCUAAGUCUUUUAUUAAGACAUUAUUUGGUGUUCUUUAUGAAGUGUAUAGUUCCUCAGCAGGACCUGCGGUCAGACAUAAGUGCCUUAGAGCAAUUCUUAGGAUAAUUUAUUUCGCGGAUGCCGAACUUCUAAAGGAUGUCCUGAAAAAUCAUGCUGUUUCAAGUCAUAUUGCUUCCAUGCUAUCAAGCCAAGACCUGAAGAUAGUAGUUGGAGCACUUCAGAUGGCAGAGAUCUUAAUGCAGAAGUUACCUGAUAUUUUUAGUGUUUAUUUCAGAAGAGAAGGUGUAAUGCAUCAAGUAAAACACUUAGCAGAAUCGGAAUCAUUGUUGACAAGUCCACCAAAGGCAUGUACGAAUGGGUCAGGAUCCUUGGGGUCCACGACAUCUGUCAGCAGUGGAACAGCCACGGCUGCCACUAAUGCCUCAGCUGACUUGGGGUCCCCCAGCUUGCAGCACAGCAGAGAUGAUUCUUUAGAUCUGAGCCCUCAAGGUCGAUUAAGUGAUGUUCUAAAGAGAAAACGACUGCCAAAACGAGGAUCAAGAAGGCCAAAGUAUUCACCUCCAAGAGAUGAUGACAAAGUAGACAAUCAAGCUAAAAGCCCCACCACUACUCAGUCACCUAAAUCUUCUUUCCUGGCAAGCUUGAAUCCAAAAACGUGGGGAAGGUUAAGCGCACAGUCUCACAGCAACAACAUUGAACCGGCCCGAGCUGCGGGAGUUAGUGGUCUUGCCAGGGCCGCCUCAAAGGACACCAUAUCCAAUAACAGAGAAAAAAUCAAAGGCUGGAUUAAAGAGCAGGCGCAUAGAUUUGUAGAGCGUUAUUUCAGUUCUGAGAACAUGGAUGGAAGCAACCCUGCAUUGAACGUCCUGCAGAGACUUUGUGCUGCAACCGAACAGCUCAGCCUCCAGGUGGAUGGUGGAGCUGAGUGCCUUGUAGAAAUCCGUAGCAUAGUCUCAGAGUCGGAUGUUUCAUCAUUUGAAAUCCAACAUAGUGGAUUUGUGAAGCAGCUAUUGCUUUAUUUGACAUCUAAAAGCGAAAAGGAUGCUGUGAGCAGAGAGAUCAGAUUAAAGAGAUUCCUUCAUGUGUUUUUUUCUUCUCCACUUCCUGGAGAAGAGCCCAUUGGAAGAGUAGAACCAGUGGGUAAUGCACCUUUGUUGGCAUUAGUUCACAAGAUGAACAACUGCCUCAGCCAGAUGGAACAGUUUCCAGUCAAAGUGCAUGACUUUCCGAGUGGAAAUGGCACAGGAGGCAGCUUUUCUCUCAACAGAGGAUCACAGGCUUUAAAAUUUUUCAACACACAUCAGUUAAAAUGCCAGUUACAAAGACAUCCAGACUGUGCAAAUGUGAAGCAGUGGAAGGGUGGACCUGUCAAGAUUGACCCUCUGGCUUUGGUGCAAGCUAUCGAGAGAUACCUUGUAGUUAGAGGGUAUGGAAGAGUAAGAGAAGAUGAUGAAGACAGUGACGAUGAUGGCUCUGAUGAGGAAAUAGACGAGUCUCUGGCUGCUCAAUUCUUAAAUUCAGGAAAUGUACGACACAGGCUACAGUUUUACAUUGGAGAACAUUUGCUGCCGUAUAACAUGACUGUGUAUCAGGCAGUACGGCAGUUCAGUAUACAGGCUGAAGAUGAACGGGAAUCCACGGAUGAUGAGAGCAAUCCUCUAGGAAGAGCUGGUAUUUGGACGAAAACUCAUACAAUAUGGUACAAACCUGUGAGAGAGGAUGAAGAAAGCAAUAAAGAUUGUGUUGGUGGUAAAAGAGGAAGAGCCCAAACAGCUCCAACAAAAACUUCCCCUAGAAAUGCAAAAAAGCACGAUGAGUUGUGGAACGAUGGAGUGUGCCCGUCAGUAUCAAAUCCUUUAGAAGUUUACCUCAUACCCACACCACCUGAAAAUAUAACUUUUGAAGACCCUUCAUUAGAUGUGAUUCUUCUUUUAAGAGUUUUACAUGCCAUCAGUCGAUACUGGUAUUACUUGUAUGAUAAUGCAGUGUGCAAGGAGAUUAUCCCAACUAGUGAAUUUAUUAACAGUAAGUUGACAGCAAAAGCAAAUAGGCAGCUUCAGGAUCCUUUAGUAAUCAUGACAGGAAACAUCCCAACAUGGCUUACUGAACUAGGAAAAACCUGCCCGUUUUUCUUCCCUUUUGAUACCCGGCAAAUGCUUUUUUAUGUAACUGCAUUUGAUCGGGACCGAGCAAUGCAAAGAUUACUUGAUACCAACCCAGAAAUCAACCAGUCUGAUUCUCAAGAUAGCAGAGUUGCACCUAGAUUGGAUAGAAAAAAAGUAACGUACUGUGAACAGAGAGGAGCUGCUGAAACAAGCAGAGUCUGUGAUGCAGGAUCUUGGCAGCUCACGGGCCAUGUUAGAAAUUCAGUAUGAAAAUGAGGUUGGCACAGGUCUGGGGCCUACACUGGAGUUUUAUGCACUUGUAUCUCAGGAACUACAGAGAGCUGACUUGGGUCUCUGGAGAGGGGAAGAAGUAACUCUUAGCAAUCCAAAAGGAAGCCAAGAAGGGACCAAGUAUAUUCAAAACCUCCAAGGCCUGUUUGCGCUUCCCUUUGGUAGGACAGCUAAGCCAGCUCACAUCGCAAAAGUUAAGAUGAAGUUUCGCUUCUUAGGAAAAUUAAUGGCCAAGGCUAUCAUGGAUUUCAGAUUGGUGGACCUUCCCCUGGGCUUACCUUUUUAUAAAUGGAUGCUACGGCAGGAAACUUCGCUGACGUCACAUGAUUUGUUUGACAUUGACCCAGUUGUAGCCAGAUCAGUGUAUCACCUAGAAGACAUUGUCAGACAGAAGAAAAGACUUGAACAAGAUAAAUCCCAGACCAAAGAGAGUCUGCGGUCUGCGUUAGAAACCCUGACUAUGAAUGGCUGCUCAGUUGAAGAUCUAGGAUUGGAUUUCACUCUGCCAGGGUUUCCCAACAUCGAACUGAAGAAAGGAGGAAAGGAUAUACCAGUCACCAUCCACAAUUUGGAGGAGUAUCUAAGACUGGUUAUAUUCUGGGCACUAAAUGAAGGCGUUUCCAGGCAGUUUGAUUCAUUCAGAGAUGGAUUUGAGUCAGUCUUCCCACUCAGUCACCUUCAGUACUUCUAUCCGGAAGAACUGGAUCAGCUCCUGUGUGGCAGUAAAGCAGACACUUGGGAUGCAAAGACACUGAUGGAAUGCUGCAGGCCAGAUCACGGUUACACUCAUGACAGUCGGGCUGUGAAGUUCUUGUUUGAGAUUCUCAGUAGUUUUGAUAAUGAGCAGCAGAGGUUAUUUCUCCAGUUUGUGACAGGUAGCCCAAGAUUGCCUGUUGGAGGCUUCCGGAGCUUGAAUCCACCUUUGACAAUUGUCCGGAAGACCUUCGAAUCAACAGAGAACCCAGAUGACUUCCUGCCCUCCGUAAUGACCUGUGUGAACUACCUUAAGCUGCCGGACUAUUCGAGCAUCGAGAUAAUGCGAGAAAAGCUGCUGACGGCAGCCAGGGAAGGGCAGCAGUCAUUCCAUCUUUCCUGAUCACAGCGAGAAACGCGGUGUCUGCCUGUUACAGCAAAAGAGAAAAAUCAUGGUUUCUUUUCUAAAUGUAUCACCUGAGUCAAGGAAACAUGUUACGCCUUCUUGUUGUAGGAAAACGGCUUGCAGAUUAUAAAAGAGACACUUGGUUCCUAUUCAUUAAUGGCCCCAUGGACUUAAAGUGAUCAGGCCCUAAAACGUUGUUGUGAUGAGGUUUCUUUAGCAAGUUCUUGUUUAAAUUAUCAUUUAUUUGACGAGUGAAGUUUUUAACUUGCUUUGCUGUGUGAAAUUUAAAAAAGGGAUGUUUUUCCAGGCUGAAACAAUAAAUGUCGCUGUGCAGUUUAAUUCUGGGCUGUGUGUAUCCAUCUAGCUAAGUCUGCAGUUUUGUUUCCUCCAAAGACAACUCUUGUACAUAAGUACAGCAAUUAAAGCUCCCGUGUAUUUGACAAAUACAGUUUAGUAGGUGAGCUCUGUGUGCUUCUCACUUCCCUUGAGAUUCCCCGCCCUGACCCGUGUACUGUCUGUGCCGCUCACACAGGUUUUUUUGUAUACAGAACCCACAGUUGGUACAUCUUCGUCAGCCAUGGGCUUUCGUUGUUCCAUGUUCUCUCUCAAAUUAAGAUAUAAUUUAAAAUUCAUGGAAUUGAAAAACGUUGUCAAUAUAAUUCAGCCUUUGUAACUAGGUAGCCUUUUCUUAUAGCUUAGUUUUAAUAUAGUUGUAGGGUAUCACUGGCCUUGUACCAGGGACGCACUAGGACUGUUUACAUGGUGAUUCCGGCAACCGCCGCCUCUGGAAUGGAGGCAAGGAGAGCUCAUUCGUUUCUUUUGUGUAGGUUAAAAAGUCUGCAGCUUGGGCUGGCCAGUAUUUAUUAUUCUGUGGCCAGAGCAUUUUGAAUUGAUGUAUACGGUUUUAAGCAAAGUUAGCAGUUUUCAUUCCCUGUUGGAGUAAAAAAAAAGUUUUUCUCCCUUGUUCUCAUUUUAAGUUUCUGUUCACUGUCUUCUUUGGUUAUUCCGCUCUCCUCUUCCCCUCCUCCCCGUGCUCACGUGGGACAGACAGCUCAGCCUUUGUCUCCACACACAUCAAAGCACCUGUAAGCAAUGCUCUGUCCAGUUGUUUUAUGUGCUGAUUUCUCAAACCUGCAAUAAUUCAUCAGGUUCAUGUUUCUACCUGAAAAUAAAUAAAGUUUGCUUCACCUUUUUGUUUAUAGUUCUGUGCCGUAUGCAUAACUUUUAGUUGUAGAGAUGUAUCUCAAUGCAGGCAGAUCAUCACAGCUCAUGGCUGAUUUCGCUAUUCAAAGAAUUUAGAAUAGCAACUGAAGAACGUAAAAUGUAGAAAGAGAAUGAGAGGAGACUCCUUCCUUCAUUCCUAAGGUUCAAAAUUAAGCCUGUUGCAUAAAUUUGAGAGAAUUUCCAUAAUUCAUCUUUCUGAAAAAGAGAUGAGCUAAUUGUUUUUUUAUUGGACUUUGAGAAAUCAAUUUUCUUUUGUUUGUUUUAAAGUCUUGUUUAAUUGAUGUCAAAACCCCUUUGUCGCCUAUUUCACCACUUAAAAGAAACUCCAUGACUUGUUUUAUUUACAUUACUUUGUCGUUUCCACUUAAAUGGCCUUAUACGAGCAUCCCCUCGUCUCAGUGCACCUGGGCAGUGACACCCCCCCCCCCCUUAGGUGGGACAGAGCUGUGAGAGGAACUCGGAGCGUGUCUCCCUGGUCCUUGCAGAGGCUCUGGAGAGUGAGCUGCUUCCCUUUGACAUCGUAGGAGGGACUUGUGUUUCUGCAGUUCUAACAUUGACACCGUAGGACCUGUGCAGUUUAAUCAAGUGAAACUAGUGUUAAAGAAUGAACCAAUUUGUUUUAAAUUGUUCUGAUACCUUUUUACGGACUAAGCACAAAAAAGAGUUUUGCGUGAACAUAACCUUUUUGUUCCUCAUUUUUUAAAGGGUUCUGUUGUUAAAAUUUAGACGUAUGUAUAAACAAAGUAAUGCAUCAUAUUCAGAUAUCUUCUGUAUUUAACAUAACAUUUUAUCCAUAUCAUGGCCCUGGCAGAUUUGGCCUCAUUGAUUUCAGCGUCUAAGGAGUGUGUCCAUUGGAUGGUUUUGAAUUGCACUGUGGAGCUUGAUUGUUUCAAAGUCGGUAGUUAUCUGUUUAAAAGCUUUCAGUCUUUAGCUUACUCCUUAAUUUUGGAACGCUUGGUUAAUUAGGGGCAAGAAGACUUCCCAUUUGAAAGCAGUCUCUCUUGGCAGAGGCCUUAAUAUUACAUCACAGGGAAAAAUAGACUUCAUUUGCUGUUCCUCCAGUUAUGCCUUAAAUUUAUUUGUUGAGUAAUCCUGUCAACAAGCACUACUCUCUUAAGUAUGCUUUACACACGUAGACAGUUUGGAUAGUGGCUAAGAUUUUGUUGUCUUUCAGUUUUUGCUGAGGUGGAGUCAGUCGGAUGUUAGUCACAGCUAACACCGACCAUGGCGUCGUCAUUUAGAAAGUUACUGAUUUGAUCCACUUUGUUUAUGAAAACGUAGUUCUCACUAUUUAAGAAGGAAGAGUUGGUUAAAUGUAUUCCCCUCCUCCCAGCCCCCCCCAAAAAGUGAAUGAAUUGUAAAUGCUAGGCAGUCUCAUCAGGAACAGACACGGAGGGAAUUCUAGAUGCCUUAGCCAAACCCAGCAGAAGAAACCUUUCAUGCAGCUUCUCAUUGGAUACAGACUUUUCUUUCUCUUCCUGUGCUUCAGCUCUGGUUCCCUGUGUUUGUACUGAUCGAGAACUGUCUUUCACCUUAGCAUUCUAUAAAGAAGAUAGUAUUCUAAAGUCUGCUUUUCCUGCAUUUGGCUAUUCUUGCAAGUUUGGUACAUAACAUGAAAAGGAGAGGUUCAGCUGGCCGGCUGACGUCACUUCCUGCGCUCCUUCAGGGCGUCCUGUGCAUAAAGGCCAUAAGGCCGAGGGACAGAAAGCCCCAGCUUCUGCAUCCAAGAAGUUAGAUUCAACUCUUGAUUUUCCGCAGUAAGGACUAUCGCCAGCGACUUGUGAGUUUGUUUUUCCUUUAGUUCACCAGGUGUUCAGGCUGUGCUCCCGAUUCCUGUCAGUAAAUUCAGGAAAUGGGAAUGUUGCUGAUACUGCACGAAAAGAUGUGAUGAAAAAGGAGACUUGCUGGGGAAAGACAUAAUUGUGCAUUCAGAAACCAAGUCCUUCUGGGGGAGGAUUCUGGAUGCUGUUGUUCAUUCUUCAUUAGCAAAGAUGAUCGAGCCUUUAAUUCAUUUAUCUUGGGCUUUGUUUUUUUUGACCCACAUUAUUUUCCCUAUUGUAAUGAGAACAUUGUUUGAAAAUGUCGUACUCUGUAUUUCUUACUCUGAGAAAUGCUUUUGUAUGGGUCUUAGGUUUGACGCUGCAGUAGUUGGCAUACCCAGUAAGGAAUAACAUAGUGACAAAUCACUGAAAAUGCUUCUUCCUUUGUUACCUCAAAAGAAAAAAAAUUCCAGACAAAAUAUAGCAUUUAUAUUUAUAGAAAAUGGAGGAUUGGCUGUUUUCCAAGAACUUCAAGUUAAUUCUUAUGCAAGAAAAAGUUCUUAACUCUAAAGACUUGUUCUGCAUAAGUAGACACUCUUUAAUAAUGGAAGAGGUGGUUUUAUUUUUACAACAAGCCUACUCAUAUUACCAAACCUAUAACCAAUUGCUGAUCUCCUGUGUAAAGCAUUUUUUUCUCUUAUCUGAAACAGUGAUUUAUAUGAACUGUUGGAAUAAUGGAACCUCAAACUACAGAUGUGUAUGUAAAAUUGCAUAAAUGCACUGACUUCCUUCUCCCUGAAUAUAUUUUUAAUAAACAGCAUUAUCCUA
Balaenoptera musculus (blue whale) is the source of this 10250-nucleotide RNA transcript. It is a transcript of the gene named thyroid hormone receptor interactor 12, with no coding region annotated. Lineage: Eukaryota; Metazoa; Chordata; Mammalia; Artiodactyla; Balaenopteridae. The record is from RefSeq and is a predicted model, not a curated record. The transcript is spliced from 42 exons.